GACGAACGCUGGCGGCGUGCCUAAUACAUGCAAGUAGAACGCACAGGAUGCACCGUAGUUUACUACACCGUAUUCUGUGAGUUGCGAACGGGUGAGUAACGCGUAGGUAACCUGCCUGGUAGCGGGGGAUAACUAUUGGAAACGAUAGCUAAUACCGCAUAAGAACAUUUACUGCAUGGUGGAUGUUUAAAAGGUGCAAAUGCAUCACUACCAGAUGGACCUGCGUUGUAUUAGCUAGUAGGUGAGGUAACGGCUCACCUAGGCGACGAUACAUAGCCGACCUGAGAGGGUGAUCGGCCACACUGGGACUGAGACACGGCCCAGACUCCUACGGGAGGCAGCAGUAGGGAAUCUUCGGCAAUGGGGGGAACCCUGACCGAGCAACGCCGCGUGAGUGAAGAAGGUUUUCGGAUCGUAAAGCUCUGUUGUUAAGGAAGAACGAGUGUGAGAAUGGAAAGUUCAUACUGUGACGGUACUUAACCAGAAAGGGACGGCUAACUACGUGCCAGCAGCCGCGGUAAUACGUAGGUCCCGAGCGUUGUCCGGAUUUAUUGGGCGUAAAGCGAGCGCAGGCGGUUAGAUAAGUCUGAAGUUAAAGGCAGUGGCUCAACCAUUGUAGGCUUUGGAAACUGUUUAACUUGAGUGCAGAAGGGGAGAGUGGAAUUCCAUGUGUAGCGGUGAAAUGCGUAGAUAUAUGGAGGAACACCGGUGGCGAAAGCGGCUCUCUGGUCUGUAACUGACGCUGAGGCUCGAAAGCGUGGGGAGCGAACAGG
Molecule: ribosomal RNA, 773 nt
Filed under: uncultured Streptococcus sp.
Lineage: Bacteria; Bacillati; Bacillota; Bacilli; Lactobacillales; Streptococcaceae
Description: bacterial SSU rRNA
Rfam family: Bacterial small subunit ribosomal RNA
Source: RNAcentral